This is a long non-coding RNA of Vitis vinifera (wine grape), 1181 nucleotides long. RefSeq lists it as uncharacterized. The transcript is spliced from 6 exons. The record is from RefSeq and is a predicted model, not a curated record. NCBI's taxonomy places the organism in Eukaryota, Viridiplantae, Streptophyta, Magnoliopsida, Vitales, Vitaceae.
UUCUCUUCCUCUCCAAAACCCACGGCCAUAAAACCCACAAAAUCUACCCACAGCCCCCAUUGCUUGGAGGAAGCCAUUUCCGGAAAAAGCUUAUGGAAGCCAUGCCGAAGAAGCCCCAUGGAAGCUAUGGUCCGUAAAGCCAAAGCCACCUCCAAGAAACUCCCGUAAAAAUCGUUUCUCUCUAGGUUUUGGGUUUUGGUGCUUUUGGAAAAACCACACUUAAUUACUUCCUAAGAUGAGGAGAGAUUGUGUCAUCGACCUCCACACUUAUCGGAUGAUGAUUGGAGGUGGCUCAUCCACUUUUGGGGUACACCUGAGGCCAAGGAUAUCUCAUAAAAAAACAAGGCAAAUAGGGCAAAACAAGUGAUAAAGCAUACAUCGGGAUCAAAAAGUUAUGCUCAAAUUCGAUAUGAACAGGCACAAAAGAAGGAGGAUCGAAGUGAGCCCAAUAGAAUUGAGAUGUUUGCCCUGACACACACAAGAAAAGAUGGGACGCCUGUUGAUGAUCAUUCUAAGGAGAUUAUGGAUCAAUUUCAACAAUUACUAUCUCAACCUGAGGGGACAUCUUCUUCUACUUCUGCAUCAUCUGGAGCAUCUACAUCUGUAGCAUCUACAUAUGUAGAUGAGAUAUAUACUCAAGUCAUGGGUCCAGAGGCAUGGUCGUGUUCGAGGGUAUGGAUUUGGUCCUACUCCUACCUCAAUCUUUGGUUCUACUAGUAGGAGACGAUCAGGAGUUAUUCUUUCAACACAACUUGAAAAUGCCCAAGAGAUGCUAAUAGCUGCAGAACAAAAGUUUACAACUGCAACUGAAGAACUCUCAAAUGUGAAAGAUGAACUCUCACAUGUGAAAGAAACAUUUGAAGAGAGGUUGAUAGAAGUUCAAAAGAAGACACGUGAAGAAGUGAAAGAAGAGUUUGAAGAAAAAAUGAUGGAAAUGCAAAGAAAAAUGCAAGCACAAAUUCAAGAACAGAUGAUGCAACAAUUUCAGCAAAAGUAGUAGACAUUUGAAGAUUUUGCUAUAUCUUUAUAUAAUAGAUUCUCUUAACUUUUUUUUUGAAGAUUAUGCUACUUAUUUAUAUGAUAGAUUCUCCUAACUUUUUUUGCUUUCUAUGACUAUUAUGUGAUGUUUGGUUGGUUGAUUUGUUAUAUUAUGUUAGAAUGUGAAACUAAAUUUGAAUCUC